RNAcentral lists this ribosomal RNA (655 nucleotides) under uncultured bacterium. RNAcentral's name for it is "bacterial SSU rRNA". It matches the Rfam family "Bacterial small subunit ribosomal RNA", at positions 28 to 726 of the family's 1533-position model. The record is from RNAcentral.
AGCGAACGCUGGCGGCAGGCUUAACACAUGCAAGUCGAACGCACCGCAAGGUGAGUGGCAGACGGGUGAGUAACGCGUGGGAACGUACCCUUCGGUUCGGAAUAACCCGGGGAAACUCGGGCUAAUACCGGAUACGUCCGUAAGGAGAAAGAUUUAUCGCAGAAGGAUCGGCCCGCGUCGGAUUAGCUAGUUGGUGAGGUAACGGCUCACCAAGGCGAUGAUCCGUAGCUGGUCUGAGAGGACGAUCAGCCACACUGGGACUGAGACACGGCCCAGACUCCUACGGGAGGCAGCAGUGGGGAAUAUUGGACAAUGGGCGCAAGCCUGAUCCAGCCAUGCCGCGUGAGUGAUGAAGGCCCCUAGGGUUGUAAAGCUCUUUUACCAGGGAAGAUAAUGACGGUACCUGGAGAAUAAGCCCCGGCUAACUUNGUGCCAGCAGCCGCGGUAAUACNAAGGGGGCCUAGCGUUGCUCGGAAUCACUGGGCCGUAAAAGCGUACGUAGGUGGGUUUCUAAGUCAGGGGCUGAAAUCCUGGAGCUCAACUCCAGAACUGCCUUUGAUACUGGGAAUCUUCGAGUCCGGAGAGGUGGUGGAACUGCGAGUGUAGAGGUGAAACUUCGUAGAUAUUCGCAAGAACACCAGUGGCGAAGGCGGCU